This 392-nucleotide ribosomal RNA is filed under the name uncultured bacterium. RNAcentral describes it as "partial 16S ribosomal RNA". It matches the Rfam family "Bacterial small subunit ribosomal RNA", at positions 523 to 918 of the family's 1533-position model. The record is from RNAcentral.
AUACGGAGGAUGCGAGCGUUAUCCGGAUUUAUUGGGUUUAAAGGGUGCGUAGGCUGUUUGGUAGUCAGGGGUGAAAUGCCGUCGCUCAACGUCGGAGCUGCCCUUGAUACUGCUGAGCUGGAGUACGGAUGCCGUUGGAGGAAUGAGUGGUGUAGCGGUGAAAUGCAUAGAUAUCACUCAGAACACCGAUUGCGAAGGCAUCUGACGAAUCCGUCACUGACGCUGAGGCACGAAAGCGUGGGGAUAGAACAGGAUUAGAUACCCUGGUAUUCCACGCCGUAAACGAUGAUGACUAACCGCCUGCGAUAGAGUGUAGGUGGCCAAGCGAAAGCGAUAAGUCAUCCACCUGGGGAGUACGACCGCAAGGUUGAAACUCAAAGGAAUUGACGGGG